RNAcentral lists this ribosomal RNA (88 nucleotides) under Bacillus altitudinis. RNAcentral also lists the same sequence under 3 other names. The record is from RNAcentral. Lineage: Bacteria; Bacillati; Bacillota; Bacilli; Caryophanales; Bacillaceae.
CCGUUCCCAUACCGAACACGGAAGUUAAGCUCUUCAGCGCCGAUGGUAGUUGGGGGUUUCCCCCUGUGAGAGUAGGACGCCGCCAAGC